Molecule: ribosomal RNA, 433 nt
Filed under: uncultured bacterium
Lineage: Bacteria
Description: partial 16S ribosomal RNA
Rfam family: Bacterial small subunit ribosomal RNA
Source: RNAcentral
AGCGAACGCUGGCGGCAGGCCUAACACAUGCAAGUCGAACGAACCUUUCGGGGUUAGUGGCGGACGGGUGAGUAACACGUGGGAACGUGCCUUUAGGUUCGGAAUAACUCAGGGAAACUUGUGCUAAUACCGAAUGUGCCCUUCGGGGGAAAGAUUAAUCGCCUUUAGAGCGGCCCGCGUCUGAUUAGCUAGUUGGUUGAGGUAAUGGCUCACCAAGGCGACGAUCAGUAGCUGGUCUGAGAGGAUGAUCAGCCACAUUGGGACUGAGACACGGCCCAAACUCCUACGGGAGGCAGCAGUGGGGAAUCUUGCGCAAUGGGCGAAAGCCUGACGCAGCCAUGCCGCGUGAAUGAUGAAGGUCUUAGGAUGGUAAAAUUCUUUCACCGGGGACGAUAAUGACGGUACCCGGAGAAGAAGCCCCGGCUAACUUCGU